This 440-nucleotide ribosomal RNA is filed under the name uncultured bacterium. Its description in RNAcentral is "bacterial SSU rRNA". It matches the Rfam family "Bacterial small subunit ribosomal RNA", at positions 338 to 795 of the family's 1533-position model. The record is from RNAcentral.
CCUACGGGAGGCAGCAGUGGGGAAUAUUGCACAAUGGGGGAAACCCUGAUGCAGCAACGCCGCGUGAGCGAUGAAGGCCUUCGGGUCGGAAAGCUCUGUCCUAAGGGAAGACUACUGACGGUACCUUAGGAGGAAGCCCAGGCGAACUACGUCCCAGCAGCCGCGGUAAUACGUAGGGGGCUAGGGUUAUCCGGAAUUACUGGGCGUAAAGGGUGCGUAGUCGGCCUUUCAAGGAAGAGGUGGAAGGCUACGGCUCAAGCGUAGUAAGGCUUUGAAACAGUAGGGCUUGAGUGCAGGAGAGGAGAGUGGAAUGACCAUUGUAGCGGUGAAGUGGGUAGAGAUUGGGAGGAACAACAGUGACGAAGGCGGUUCUUUAGUCUGUAACUGGCGCUGAGGCGCGAAAGCGUGGGGAGUGAAUAGGAUUAGAUACCCUGGUAGUC